UUGACCCCCUAUUUGACUGUAGAAAUAGGAUACUAAUGGUUACAGGAGUAUCCUGUACAAAUUGGAGCGCUGUAGGACGAAGGGCCGUAGAAUAAAUUGGCAAAAUAAAAAACGAUAAGUAAAGGUGACACGCAAAAGUGCCGUGUCCGGUAUUGCUCCAUUUUACCCUGGUAUUAUUUUGGGGAUUACUCCAAAACUAAUCCCUCUAGAGCAAAACCGAAAUAGCCAAGUUGUGAAAAAGCUCCUGCUCUACAACAUGCAUGUAUUCCGGCCAUUUUCGCUGAAAAGUAUGGGUACCAGCGAAAGAUGUUCUAGGAUCAUUCUGGUCAGUGAACGUCUUCGGAAUUGAUUUGAGAUGAAUUUUUCCUCACCAAUUAUUCGGGACCUAUUGAAGAUUUUUAUCUGAAAUUCAGAUAUGAUGUGUGUAUUGCAGUUACAAACAAUAAUCUAGAAGGAAAAAUCUAUUAAACCAUUUCCUGAUUUUUAAAAAUUGAAAAACCGGAUUUUUUCACCGGUUUACCUAUAAUCUAGGUAGCACAAAAAUGUGCACCUAUAACCUAUGGUAUGAUUUGAAUGCCAUUUUGGGUUAUUAUGUAAUCCUACCUGCUGAUUACGAUUUUGAUGGUAAAAAUUCUGUACCAUCAUACAUUUACAUGAUUUACCAACCUUAGUGAAGAAAAGUAACUGGUGAGCAUGUGCAAGUCCGUAGCCACCAUUGGUUUACUAUUAUGAGGAAAAACCGUAAACUUGGAAAGUGGGUUUUUCCAGUAUCUUUGUUAAUUGACAUAUCAGAAUGCUGAUGGUACCAUUGAAUUGCUUGUACAUUCGGUCUUCAUGCAAGGCUCAAAAUUUUUAUCCUUGAUAAGUUUUAAGAAAAAUGCAUUUCCCUGGUCCGUAGCAUAUAAGGACGAAUUUCAAACAGAGUAUCAUACUGAGUAUGAUACCAGUACAUGCUUUGUGUAGCUUUUCCUACCUUAGCAAUGCAGUCUGGUACCUUGUCGAGGUGUGCUGGCUUAGCCUAUCCUGUUUGUGUUGCUUGGGUUAUGAAAAGAUGACCUGUAACCUUUGGGGAGCUAUAACACCAGGAGUGGUGACCAAAUCCAGACUGCUUUUUCUUGCUUGAGCAAGUGAAUACAACCAUUGAUUGGGCUUGCGGUAAUUGCAAAGCUAUCCUUUGGUUCAAGUGCUUUGGAGUGUAUCUCCAAUUAAGCAACCGUAUUUUUCUUUUCAGAGGCACUAUUGAUCUCUUUUUGGGAUUGCCUUGCAACCACCCCUAGUCUACUUGUUGCAUGCAUUUAAUGUUUGUUUCUUUUCAGGAUUAAAAAGUGUCAGUGAACAUUUUUAGUGUAAAGUGAGAAAUGAACAUUGAAGAGUGAUCUAUAAGUGACAAAAGAAAAAGUGGACAAUGGAGUUUUCAUAUUCAGAUGAUCAAUCUGAUGACUCAGAUUUGGAUAAGACAUUUGAUUUUUUGAAUGCAUUGAAGGAGCGAAGGAAAACUUGCAAGUACGAUUAUUCCUCUGAGGAGGAGGAGGAAAAGAAGAAAAGGAAGCAUGUGAAGAGAAUUAAAUUACAGCCAGAAUCCUCAUCGUACCAAUUGAGAAGAAAAAAGAUGAGGACAGGUGAUUUAGCUCAGACAGAGAGCAAUUACCUCUUUUGAGCCCCAACCAGGAUCUUCAGGGCUUCAGCAGCAGGAUGCUGAGGUUUCUAAGUGGCUGCUGGACUGUGGUACAGCUGUUGAUUCUUCGGAUUCUUCUUAUAACCCUGAGGAUGAAAUGGAAGAGGAGGAGGAAGAGGAGGAGGAGGAGGAGGAGGAGGAGGAGGAGGAGGAGGAAGAAACGGAAGAAAUGGGAAAUGAAACUUUAUCUGAAACUUCGGAAGAUGAUAAUCAACAAGUCUCUGGUUGGUUGAUAUGGUUGUACAUUUAUCAAAGAGCAUAUUUCAUGUAUGGUGUUGUAUUUGUUGCAAUUAAUAAUGUGGUUAACAUUCCAGAGGAUGAAACAAGGCAACAGCCAUUAUUGAGUCAAGAAGCCAUACAUCAUAUGAGUAGGACCAUUCGGCUUAUCAGCCUUGAAGAGCACAUGAAAUCCUUAUCGUUGCCUAAUGAGGAGAAGGAAAAGUUCAAAGAAGCGUUCAAAACCUUCAGCACUGUACCAAACAUUGAAGACAUAAAGGUUUAUUUAAAAAAAGAAAGAGAGCUUCUAGAAAAUGCAUUGAAGAAUGUAGAGAUUCGUGAGGCAGCAACUUUGAAAAUGGCAGAAACAUUCUGGCAAAUGAUUAAAGACCGGCAAUGCCACUUGCUGGGAAGAAGCCUCAAAAAUACUAAGGCCAGGCCCAGGAAAAAGAUCACCAAGCGUACCAGGAUUACGUGCCCUUUUGAAGGGUGCGUUGGGAAAGCAAUCAACAUAAAGAGACACUUGGGUCAGUGUCACAAAUAUCUAACACAAGAGGAAAAAGAAGUAAUUUCACUCAUGAAUAGAAUGAAAACCAUGGGCAAGAUAGGAACCAUGAGUAUGAAAACAAAGAAGCAAAAACAAAGCAAGUGCAUAAUUUGCAAUAAAGCCUACAACAGGUUAGACGUUCACUUGCAGAAAACCCACAAAUUGCGUAGACAUACGCAGAUGUAUAGAAAGACAAUGGAGGCAUGUAUUUCUGCUCCUAAUGAAAAUGUAAUCAUUGAGACAGCUUCAGGAAGUAAUACUCUCAACUCAGUUGAUAGACUGAAAUCUUUUGCCAAUGGUUUUAAUGAGUACCUUGAGAUGUACACUCCCCUUUGUGAAGUAACAAGAGUCAAAGAAGUAAGAAAUGUCAGGGAAAUAAUUUCCUCUUGCUUGGGUGAGAUACCUGUAGACUCCCUUGAAGGACAUACAAUCUGCCGCAUUCUAAGAAACUCUACCAAAAGUUCACCUCCAGGAUACUUUAAAGAAAGAGAAGGUGUGGCAUCGUACAGUUAUAUGAGAAAGAUAUUGAAGGGCUGCCAGAGGGCAGUCAUAUAUAUGCAUGAGUCCCAGGGUGUGUUCACAAUCAAUCUCAAUACUCGAGAAAAAACUUUGAAGUGCUUGAAAUCUUUGUCUGGUAAGUGUUUUUUUCCUAACUGACUGUCAUUAUACAUUGUAAAAACGCAAAGGUUAGCAACAAGUAUAUUUACUACCUUUCUUAUUUUUCAGUGAAAUAUCAAAAGGAAGAAAAUCGUGAAAGAUUUCAUAAACCACGGAAGAAGGAGAUGAGUCUAGCAUCCCUGAAUGAUAUUGAAAAAUCCUUCAGUCAGAUUAUGUAACAUCUAAAAUAAAGGAUGCUAUUGAAAUGACAGACGAUGAACUAGUGACUGUCUCACAGUUCAUAGACUUGAGGGACAUUUUGAUCACCGUUAUGGCAAUAACGUCGUUACGACGACUGAUGGAAUUUGGAGAAUUCAGAUUAUCUGAAGUUGCUGAGAAAGAGAAGAGAAUAGACCAUGACACAGAACAAUUUGAGUGCUGGGUAUUUAGAAUUUCAAGGCACAAAACAGCAGUACAAGGGCCUUCUCUGAUAUUCUUAUCAGAAAUUGAAGGUAAAGCCUUUGAUGCAUACCUAAAAUACUACAGACCUCUAGUUGCCUCCUGCAAGGAACCGAACUGCUUUGUUUUCCCAAAUAGAUUCGCAGAGAGUGUGACAUCAUGUUGUACUAAGAUGAGCUACUCAUCUUUGUCUAAAGCGGUGUCAAAGACAGGUAGAAAAGCUGGUGUCUCAACAGCAAUAACCUCCAGGAUUCUCAGACGAAGUCAAAUAACGGCUCUAUGGGAAAAAAAUUUGGACCCUACCUGGAGAAAUAAAAUUGCAGAACAAUGUUGCCACUCACUACAAACGGCAAGACGGUAUUAUGAAUUCUCUUCAAAAGUGGGUACAGGCAAGGAAGUGGUAGACACACUUCGAAAAAUGAGGAGUGAAGCACUGGAGUCUGGGACGUCACAAGCUUCCACAAAUUUGAGUGAAUCUGCCCAUACUCUUGAGCUGUGAGUUUUACUUUGAAAUAAAAUUUUCUUUAUGGUUGACUAUAUUAUUUAUAGUAAUGCUUGUACAUUCAUCACUGUGAUUGAAAUUAACAAUGUUCCAAUUUAGCUCAAGUGGAGCCCAAAUAUCCCAGACUGAGGAAGAUCCAGGAAUAUCGGAAGAGCCUUCUGUGAUUCAAACGGAGGAUCCUGACGAUCCACCACCUACCAACACCGGAAUGGGUGAGAGACACACCCAAGAAGAAGGACAGGUCUCUUAUCACCAACAGACUCAGGAACUUGUGGAAGAAAACGCAAAACCACCCAGCAUCCGUUC
RNA transcript from Portunus trituberculatus (swimming crab), 4302 nucleotides. RefSeq lists it as uncharacterized. The record is from RefSeq and is a predicted model, not a curated record. The transcript is spliced from 6 exons. Lineage: Eukaryota; Metazoa; Arthropoda; Malacostraca; Decapoda; Portunidae.